Molecule: long non-coding RNA, 683 nt
Organism: Mobula hypostoma (lesser devil ray)
Lineage: Eukaryota; Metazoa; Chordata; Chondrichthyes; Myliobatiformes; Myliobatidae
Exons: 3
Source: RefSeq, a predicted model, not a curated record
ACAAGCAUAGUAAUGUGGGGCUAAAGUUUUUGUAUUGAGAGGCAUUGAUCACGUGGAUAGUCAGAGGCUUUUUUCCCAGGGCUGAAAUGGCUAGCACGAGAGGGUAUAGCUUUAAGGUGCUUGGAAGUAGAUACAGAGGAGAUGUCAGGGGUAAGUUUUUUACACAGAGAGUGGUGAGUGCGUGGAAUGGGCUGCCAGUGGCGGUGGUGGAGGCGGAAAUGAUAGGGUCUUUUAAGGAAGUCCUGGAUGGAUACAUGGAGCUUCGAAAAAUAGGAUAGUUCUAAGCCAAUGAAAAACCUUCAGUCUUGGUGGAGAAAGGCUUGCAGCCCAGCAUCUAACAGGUGUCUCUCUCAGUUACUGUAUCCACAUUUCCUUGAUUCCAGGCAUACCCAAUAUAUCCAUAAUAGUAUUGAUGAAGACCACACCAACUUGGGCAUUCAACCAGUAUGCAAAAGACAAUAAACUGUGCAAAUAUAAAAGGAAAGAAAUAAUAAUAAUAAAUAAAUAAACAAUAAAUAUUGAGGGAUGAGCUGAAGAGUCCUUGAAAGUGAGUCCAUAGGUUGUGGGUACAUUUCAAUGAUGGGGCAAGUGAAGUUGAGUGAAGCUUGGUUCAAGGGCCUGAUGGUUGAGGGGUAACAACUGAUCUUGGUGGUGCGAGUCCUCAGGCUCCUGUACCUUCUUCC